UACGAAGGGGGCUAGCGUUGCUCGGAAUUACUGGGCAUAAAGGGCGCGUAGGCGGCUUGGUCAGUCAGGCGUGAAAUUCCUGGGCUUAACCUGGGGACUGCGCUUGAUACGGCCAGGCUUGAGGAUGGAAGAGGGUCGCGGAAUUCCCAGUGUAGAGGUGAAAUUCGUAGAUAUUGGGAAGAACACCGGUGGCGAAGGCGGCGACCUGGUCCAUUACUGACGCUGAGGCGCGACAGCGUGGGGAGCAAACAGG
RNAcentral lists this ribosomal RNA (253 nucleotides) under uncultured bacterium. Its description in RNAcentral is "partial 16S ribosomal RNA". It matches the Rfam family "Bacterial small subunit ribosomal RNA", at positions 524 to 776 of the family's 1533-position model. The record is from RNAcentral.